RNAcentral lists this microRNA precursor (62 nucleotides) under Petromyzon marinus (sea lamprey). RNAcentral describes it as "Pma-Mir-221-P1o1_pre stem-loop". It matches the Rfam family "mir-221 microRNA precursor family", at positions 11 to 72 of the family's 84-position model. The record is from RNAcentral. Lineage: Eukaryota; Metazoa; Chordata; Hyperoartia; Petromyzontiformes; Petromyzontidae.
ACUCAGAGCCCAGUGUAGAUCCUGCCUCGUGCACACAGCAGCUACAUUUGACUACUGGGUCU